Molecule: non-coding RNA, 68 nt
Filed under: Ctenophora environmental sample
Lineage: Eukaryota; Metazoa; Ctenophora
Source: RNAcentral
UUUUUUUUUUUUUUUUUUUUUUGAUAGCUCGCGCUUAUUCCAUAUUAAAUUAAAAGGGUCAAAAAAAA